RNAcentral lists this ribosomal RNA (413 nucleotides) under uncultured bacterium. RNAcentral's name for it is "bacterial SSU rRNA". It matches the Rfam family "Bacterial small subunit ribosomal RNA", at positions 954 to 1366 of the family's 1533-position model. The record is from RNAcentral.
AUGGGAACGCGAAGAACCUUACCUACUCUUGACAUCCAGAGAACUUAGCAGAGAUGCUUUGGUGCCUUCGGGAACUCUGAGACAGGUGCUGCAUGGCUGUCGUCAGCUCGUGUUGUGAAAUGUUGGGUUAAGUCCCGCAACGAGCGCAACCCUUAUCCUUUGUUGCCAGCGGUUCGGCCGGGAACUCAAAGGAGACUGCCAGUGAUAAACUGGAGGAAGGUGGGGAUGACGUCAAGUCAUCAUGGCCCUUACGAGUAGGGCUACACACGUGCUACAAUGGCGCAUACAAAGAGAAGCGACCUCGCGAGAGCAAGCGGACCUCAUAAAGUGCGUCGUAGUCCGGAUUGGAGUCUGCAACUCGACUCCAUGAAGUCGGAAUCGCUAGUAAUCGUAGAUCAGAAUGCUACGGUGAA